Molecule: ribosomal RNA, 1396 nt
Filed under: Escherichia coli
Lineage: Bacteria; Pseudomonadati; Pseudomonadota; Gammaproteobacteria; Enterobacterales; Enterobacteriaceae
Description: partial 23S ribosomal RNA
Rfam family: Bacterial large subunit ribosomal RNA
Source: RNAcentral
CCAGUGUGUUUCGACACACUAUCAUUAACUGAAUCCAUAGGUUAAUGAGGCGAACCGGGGGAACUGAAACAUCUAAGUACCCCGAGGAAAAGAAAUCAACCGAGAUUCCCCCAGUAGCGGCGAGCGAACGGGGAGCAGCCCAGAGCCUGAAUCAGUAUGUGUGUUAGUGGAAGCGUCUGGAAAGGCGCGCGAUACAGGGUGACAGCCCCGUACACAAAAAUGCACAUGCUGUGAGCUCGAUGAGUAGGGCGGGACACGUGGUAUCCUGUCUGAAUAUGGGGGGACCAUCCUCCAAGGCUAAAUACUCCUGACUGACCGAUAGUGAACCAGUACCGUGAGGGAAAGGCGAAAAGAACCCCGGCGAGGGGAGUGAAAAAGAACCUGAAACCGUGUACGUACAAGCAGUGGGAGCACGCUUAGGCGUGUGACUGCGUACCUUUUGUAUAAUGGGUCAGCGACUUAUAUUCUGUAGCAAGGUUAACCGAAUAGGGGAGCCGAAGGGAAACCGAGUCUUAACUGGGCGUUAAGUUGCAGGGUAUAGACCCGAAACCCGGUGAUCUAGCCAUGGGCAGGUUGAAGGUUGGGUAACACUAACUGGAGGACCGAACCGACUAAUGUUGAAAAAUUAGCGGAUGACUUGUGGCUGGGGGUGAAAGGCCAAUCAAACCGGGAGAUAGCUGGUUCUCCCCGAAAGCUAUUUAGGUAGCGCCUCGUGAAUUCAUCUCCGGGGGUAGAGCACUGUUUCGGCAAGGGGGUCAUCCCGACUUACCAACCCGAUGCAAACUGCGAAUACCGGAGAAUGUUAUCACGGGAGACACACGGCGGGUGCUAACGUCCGUCGUGAAGAGGGAAACAACCCAGACCGCCAGCUAAGGUCCCAAAGUCAUGGUUAAGUGGGAAACGAUGUGGGAAGGCCCAGACAGCCAGGAUGUUGGCUUAGAAGCAGCCAUCAUUUAAAGAAAGCGUAAUAGCUCACUGGUCGAGUCGGCCUGCGCGGAAGAUGUAACGGGGCUAAACCAUGCACCGAAGCUGCGGCAGCGACGCUGAUGCGUUGUUGGGUAGGGGAGCGUUCUGUAAGCCUGCGAAGGUGUGCUGUGAGGCAUGCUGGAGGUAUCAGAAGUGCGAAUGCUGACAUAAGUAACGAUAAAGCGGGUGAAAAGCCCGCUCGCCGGAAGACCAAGGGUUCCUGUCCAACGUUAAUCGGGGCAGGGUGAGUCGACCCCUAAGGCGAGGCCGAAAGGCGUAGUCGAUGGGAAACAGGUUAAUAUUCCUGUACUUGGUGUUACUGCGAAGGGGGGACGGAGAAGGCUAUGUUGGCCGGGCGACGGUUGUCCCGGUUUAAGCGUGUAGGCUGGUUUUCCAGGCAAAUCCGGAAAAUCAAGGCUGAGGCGUGAUG